RNAcentral lists this ribosomal RNA (253 nucleotides) under uncultured bacterium. Its description in RNAcentral is "partial 16S ribosomal RNA". It matches the Rfam family "Bacterial small subunit ribosomal RNA", at positions 524 to 776 of the family's 1533-position model. The record is from RNAcentral.
UACGUAGGUGGCGAGCGUUGUCCGGAUUUACUGGGCGUAAAGAGCGCGCAGGCGGUCGUUCAAGUCGCGUGUGAAAGCCCCCGGCUCAACUGGGGAGGGUCACGCGAUACUGAUCGACUCGAAGGCAGGAGAGGGAAGUGGAAUUCCCGGUGUAGUGGUGAAAUGCGUAGAUAUCGGGAGGAACACCAGUGGCGAAGGCGACUUCCUGGCCUGUUCUUGACACUGAGACACGAAGGCCAGGGGAGCAAACGGG